GAGCACCAAUAUCCUCUAAAAAUAAACAACAUUGUAAAAGUCUAGAACUUAAAAGAAAAUAGAGUCAUGAAUUAAAUGCGAAAGCGAAAUAAUAGAGUUUAGAAUUUACAUUCCUUACACAAUAAUUUAAAAUGUCCGAUAGGGUUACGAGAUUGUUCAUUUUAAAAGAACAAAUAAAAAUCAAAUAAAUAAACAAAAGACAAUAUACUGAGCAUUCUAGGACGACCUUCACUAGCUUUUGAAGGGAGUACGAAUAGUGAACUAAUCACAACCUCUUGUUGAUCGGAAUUUGGUUCUUGGUUCUAUUGAUCUAAAAUAGUUAAUGAAAUGGUGUGCUACACCAUCCCAGUAAGAAAAUUACACUACUCAUCGAUAGAAAACUGAAGGUUGGUAAAAAUCAUAAAAACAAUAACUUUUCCUUUUUAUUUGUCUACUGGUAUCCCUAGGAGUCAGAGGGAUGUCCCACUAUGCGUGGACCAAUAUCCAACAUUGUCAACUAACCAGCCAUCUUCAUACUCCAUCUGGUAUGAGCGCCAAAAAUAUCAUCCCUCAAUACCCCGUUCGGUAUGAGGGUGAAUCGGGUCGUCCCUAUACCCCAUCCUGUAUGAGCGCCAAAAAUAUAAUUUUUUGAUACCUUGUCCGAUAUGAGACAACGUUCACGGUAGGGUUCUCUAUGUAUCCGGUCCGUCCACCAUUUCUUAGGAUAUCCAGUAAGACUACCAUUCAUUAAUUAACAUGACCAAAUAAUUUUCCGUUUGCAUAUUAAUUUUCAAUUCAAAAAAUCAACCGUAAAUCACGCAAGACAAGCAAUAUAUAUAUAUCAAGGAAGCACAACUAAAUCGUUUAAUUAUUUCAGUAUAUCAUCAUGUAUUUAAAGCUGUAAAUUCAACAAUCAGUUACACAGGACAACAAAUAAAUGACUAACGAGUUUUAGCUCCAUUAGUAACCUGUAAUUAUUCUCAAAAUUUUUUAAAUUAUACAAAAUAUAAUAUUAUCGAUUAUUAAGCUUCAAUUCCAUAACAGAGAAUAAGAUGAGGGAUUCUUAUCUGAAUCAAUAUCCGAAAUACUGAAGUUUUUACUUUUCCUACUUGUGAUCCUCUGAUUUUUUGAAUUUUUCUGUGGAGAUUAAAACACGCUUAACGUACUUAAAAAUACUCUAAAAAUCUAAAAUCGGUGUUCAAGACUCUUUUUCAGCCAAUUUCGAGAUUAUAGCAUGGCGGCACCGCCAUGCUUCGGCGAAUAAACACCAUCCGCAGUGGCAGUUUAUCUCGAUCUGGCCAUUUUCGGCCAAUUUCAGCCAAUUUUAUACCCAUCUAUACGAGAAAACACGUUAGGGGGUCUCGAUUGGCUGAAAAAAGUGAAAAAAAGAAAACCUACCGGUGGCGAGAUUUUUCGGUGCGGCAGCUCCGCCGGCUCACCUUGGCGGCUGGGCACUUUUCUUCGAUCAACUUGUAGAAAACAGAACGGUGAACACAAGAGUGAAAAAAUUGCACGAAAUGGGAAAUGAGAAGGAGCUCAUCGGAGGUGGUUGCGGAUUUUGCCUGC
RNAcentral lists this long non-coding RNA (1545 nucleotides) under Carica papaya (papaya). Its description in RNAcentral is "long non-coding RNA (CPAP_LNC012781)". Lineage: Eukaryota; Viridiplantae; Streptophyta; Magnoliopsida; Brassicales; Caricaceae. The record is from RNAcentral.